CAGUAGCCACGGGAACACGGAGGGUGCAAGCGUUAAUCGGAAUUACUGGGCGUAAAGCGCACGCAGGCGGUCUGACAAGUCAGAUGUGAAAUCCCCGGGCUUAACCUGGGAACUGCAUUUGUGACUGUAUAGCUAGAGUACGGCAGAGGGGGAUGGAAUUCCGCGUGUAGCAGUGAAAUGCGUAGAUAUGCGGAGGAACACCGAUGGCGAAGGCAAUCCCCUGGGCCUGUACUGACGCUCAUGCACGAAAGCGUGGGGAGCAAACAGGAUUAGAGACCCCUGUAGUCCCUGUCUCUUAUAC
This 301-nucleotide ribosomal RNA is filed under the name uncultured bacterium. RNAcentral describes it as "partial 16S ribosomal RNA". It matches the Rfam family "Bacterial small subunit ribosomal RNA", at positions 509 to 807 of the family's 1533-position model. The record is from RNAcentral.